AUUGAACGCUGGCGGCAUGCUUUACACAUGCAAGUCGAACGGUAACAGGCCGCAAGGUGCUGACGAGUGGCGAACGGGUGAGUAAUGCAUCGGAACGUGCCCAGUCGUGGGGGAUAACUACUCGAAAGAGUAGCUAAUACCGCAUACGAUCUAUGGAUGAAAGCGGGGGACCGUAAGGCCUCGCGCGAUUGGAGCGGCCGAUGUCAGAUUAGGUAGUUGGUGGGGUAAAGGCUCACCAAGCCAACGAUCUGUAGCUGGUCUGAGAGGACGACCAGCCACACUGGGACUGAGACACGGCCCAGACUCCUACGGGAGGCAGCAGUGGGGAAUUUUGGACAAGGGGCGCAAGCCUGAUCCAGCAAUGCCGCGUGCAGGAAGAAGGCCUUCGGGUUUUAAACUGCUUUUGUACGGAACGAAACGGCUCUGGUUAAUACCCGGGGCUAAUGACGGUACCGUAAGAAUAAGCACCGGCUAACUACGUG
Molecule: ribosomal RNA, 482 nt
Filed under: uncultured bacterium
Lineage: Bacteria
Description: partial 16S ribosomal RNA
Rfam family: Bacterial small subunit ribosomal RNA
Source: RNAcentral